AUACGUAGGGGGCGAGCGUUGUCCGGAAUGAUUGGGCGUAAAGGGCGCGUAGGCGGCCUGUUAAGUCUGGAGUGAAAGUCCUGUUUUCAAGAUGGGAAUUGCUUUGGAUACUGAUGGGCUUGAGUGCAGGAGAGGUUAUCGGAAUUCCCGGUGUAGCGGUGAAAUGCGUAGAGAUCGGGAGGAACACCAGUGGCGAAGGCGGGUAACUGGACUGCAACUGACGCUGAGGCGCGAAAGUGUGGGGAGCAAACAGGAUUAGAUACCCUGGUAGUCCACACUGUAAACGAUGAAUGCUAGGUGUUGGAGGGUUUCCGCCCUUCAGUGCUGCAGCUAACGCAUUAAGCACUCCGCCUGGGGAGUACGGCCGCAAGGCUGAAACUCAAAGGAAUUGACGGGG
Molecule: ribosomal RNA, 397 nt
Filed under: uncultured bacterium
Lineage: Bacteria
Description: partial 16S ribosomal RNA
Rfam family: Bacterial small subunit ribosomal RNA
Source: RNAcentral